RNAcentral lists this non-coding RNA (104 nucleotides) under unclassified sequences. RNAcentral's name for it is "Methylophilales-1 RNA". It matches the Rfam family "Methylophilales-1 RNA". Rfam says of the family: Methylophilales, lake sediment metagenome. The record is from Rfam by way of RNAcentral.
UGUUAGUGCAGUGAAUAAGGCAGUAAGCAAGCGCCUCAAGCCCUUGCCGAUGAGUCGUCAUUGACCUAGUGUGACUCUGCCGCUAUAGAUUACGCGCACUAACA